GGAGGGCAGGCUGGCCGUGCCCGCCCCCGUCCCGCCUCCCCUCCCUCCUCCCGUCCCCCCUCCCGUCCCUCCCCCCCCGCCCCUCCCUCCUCCCCCCUCCCGUCCUGAGCUCACAAGCGCUCGCUGUCCCUCUUCUGCUGCUUUGUCUGUGCAGGUUUUGUUCUGCUUUUCACAACAGAGGCAUCAACAUUCUGAACAAAUCUCAUCAAAAAUUGAUUCCCAGCAGAGAGGAAAUUCAAAGCAAAAUGGAAAUGCGUUCAGCCUGCAGGCGGCUUUCCAUCUGGGAGCAACGUGUCAUUUUUUCCCCCUUUAGAUGUGGCCCGGCGUCCUGAGAAAGCCGGUUGCCAUGGCGAUUCCACAGCGGCUGUUGCGUCCGCGCUGAGACGUCAGCGGCUCCUCUGGGCUGAACAGGGGGCUUCAGUGACGAAUCCUUUCUUCUUCUUCCUUUCUUCUUCUGUCGCGGGGUGUGCGAAUGCCCAGAUGCUUUCUCGUCUUUAAUGGUGUUUUCAUUUUAAUAGGCUCGGUAGAGGUAGACUCAUGGCUGUAGAAAAUUUCAUCAAAGCAAGAUUCAUGCAAAAGACACCGUCUGAACAAAAGAUCAGCGUUCGAGCUCUCCUUGUUCUGAGAGCAGAGACCCUGGAUGGAGUCACAUCAGGGCCCAUUAGAGAAAAGACUUGGCUUUGAACGUGUGUCCAGCCCCCUGCAUUGUGCGCAGGAGGGAGGGUCCCAGGCCCCUGCAGACAGCAGCUCGGGGUCCGAGCCCUGCCUGGUGGCCCCCUCCGCCCCCACUUGCAGAUGUGACUGGGACAGUCCUGCUGGUGUCACGCCAACGCCCUGCUUUGAAAGCCCAUCACCAUCUGAGUUGGGGGGGGUGGACGUGGCGUGACCACCACCCAGAGACUGUGAGUGCUGUUGGGAAGACAGCAUCAUUUGUUCAGGAACAUUGACCGGGACUGUGCCGGUCCAUCCUGCCUGGGAGCACGGCCUGCACACGACUGAGCCGGAGGGACUCUCGGAGCUGUGGGCUCAGGUCUGGGUGGGGAGCGGCCAGAGAGAGGCAGGAGGCCAGCGCAUGGAGCAGCUGGACUGGCAGAGUUGAAAACAAUCAACAGAAGAAGACUAUUUCACGAUACACAGAAAUUAUCUAAAACCCAAACUUCCGUGUCCAGAAGGAAAGAUUUAGUGGAGCCGGCCACACUGACCUGCAGCAUCAAGCCGCAGACGCAGACGCCCACGGAGACCGCGGGGACCGCGUGGCCCACGUGGCCGAAAAGGCUUGCCCUCCGGCCCCUGAGAGGAGAUCUGCUGACCCCUGACCUGAAACCUGGCAGGUGCUCUUGUGUGCCUGAAAUAGCCCCUCGGGGGGUCCUGGGGGGUCUUCCAGACCUGCCACGGUUGUUGCUGAUGUUUAAUUGUUUGACUUUUUUUCUUUAAUCAUUUAAAAAAUAAUAUCCAUUUCUUGUAACAAGUUAAAAUAAUAGGAGCUACGCCACUGAAAGUUGUUCUCAAUAGCCGCUCCCAGGCCCCCCAGCCCGUUCCCUUGGGGGGACCUCUGUCCACUGUGUUUCUUCGCUCAGACACAGACUGUCACUCUUCUUAGGAAAAGCAGUUGCAGGUGCAUGUGGUCUGCCACUUAUUCUCUUUCCCUGGACACUGGACACCCUCAGAUCAGUCGGGCAUCCCUGAGUCAGCAUUGAACAAAUGCAUCCUAUUCCGUAGUGGACUUGGAAUUAGUUAUUCGACCCUGCCCCAUCAACGAGCAUGCAGGUUGGUUACCCUUUUUCUCCAUGACUUUGAGUUC
Molecule: long non-coding RNA, 1801 nt
Filed under: Sus scrofa (pig)
Lineage: Eukaryota; Metazoa; Chordata; Mammalia; Artiodactyla; Suidae
Description: lncRNA (ENSSSCG00025018030.1)
Source: RNAcentral